AGCGUUGAAACCCCGGUUCCCGUACGAUCACCGAAGUUAAGCAACGUCGAGCAUGGUCCGUACCUAGAUGUGUGACUUACUAGGAAUACCAUAAACCAGGUGCUGCAA
Acanthosepion pharaonis is the source of this 108-nucleotide non-coding RNA. NCBI's taxonomy places the organism in Eukaryota, Metazoa, Mollusca, Cephalopoda, Sepiida, Sepiidae. The record is from the annotation of a GenBank genome assembly.